RNAcentral lists this microRNA (24 nucleotides) under Gossypium raimondii (Peruvian cotton). Its description in RNAcentral is "gra-miR8762a". Lineage: Eukaryota; Viridiplantae; Streptophyta; Magnoliopsida; Malvales; Malvaceae. The record is from miRBase by way of RNAcentral.
UUAACAUUUGUUAACUUUGCUGAC